RNAcentral lists this ribosomal RNA (249 nucleotides) under uncultured organism. RNAcentral describes it as "partial 16S ribosomal RNA". It matches the Rfam family "Bacterial small subunit ribosomal RNA", at positions 355 to 597 of the family's 1533-position model. The record is from RNAcentral.
UCGAGAAUCAUUCACAAUGGGGGAAACCCUGAUGGUGCGACGCCGCGUGGAGGAUAAGGUCUUCGGAUUGUAAACUCCUGUCAUGUGAGAGCAAAGCUCUAGCGUUAAUCGCGUUGGAGUUUGAUCGGAUCACAAGAGGAAGAGGCGGUUAACUCGGUGCCAGCAGCCGCGGUUAUACAGAGGUCUCUAGCGGUGUUCGGAAUCACUGGGGGUAAAGGGGGAGUAGGAGGAGUGGUUCGUCUGAUGUUG